UUUAUGGAGAGUUUGAUCCUGGCUCAGGAUGAACGCUGGCGGCGUGCCUAAUACAUGCAAGUCGAGCGAACAGACGGGGAGCUUGCUCCCCCGACGUUAGCGGCGGACGGGUGAGUAACACGUGGGCAACCUACCUAUAAGACUGGA
This 147-nucleotide ribosomal RNA is filed under the name Staphylococcus pettenkoferi. Its description in RNAcentral is "partial 16S ribosomal RNA". It matches the Rfam family "Bacterial small subunit ribosomal RNA", at positions 1 to 142 of the family's 1533-position model. Lineage: Bacteria; Bacillati; Bacillota; Bacilli; Caryophanales; Staphylococcaceae. The record is from RNAcentral.